AAGACAGGCAGCAGAAGAUACUAGCAUAGUAGAUGAAGUAACCAAUCAGAGAUUAGAAGUCCCUGAUGAGCCAUCCCCUAAUGAAUGGAGAGAACAUUUCCUGGCUUAUGGGAAAGAGAGCUGGAGCCAAGGGAAGUGCUUCAUUCAGCUGGAUCAGUUACUGGAAACUCGUUUCCUUAGGCCAGCCAGUUCUUCCAGACGCUGAGUCUGUGGCUGUCUAGUCUCCUCUCUAGGGGUGCGGAAUCAGAGGAGAGAGGCCCGGAGCAUCAGCUACCGGCUCCUGCCUCACAAUCCUGCAGUCCAUUUAAAGGAACAAGGAGUCGUUGCGCCCCUGCAAGCGGAGGAUGGACACAAUCUGCAUGGAGAAGCAGCGAGCAAACCAGAGAGCUUCUCAGGAGAGGCUGGUCCUAGUGAGCUGCCCAAACUGCUCCCUGCUCUGAAGCAUGCUCAGUAACUGCCAAAGUUUCUCUCUGAGAUAAUGUACCUGCAUUUGAUUAGGAUCUUGAGUGUAACAACCCACUCCUUUCAUUGGGAAUGUCUCAGAGCUAAAAGUUUCUUUCUAUGCAUAAUUAAUAUUCUAUCUCCUUGAAGAUAAAUUUUAUCUCUCCAACUCUGUAAAUGGAUCAUUUCCCCUUGGUUAUUACUACGUCGUCUCCUUACCAAAAAUAAAAUAACAGGAAAAGAAAAAUGAUACGUAAAAAAAAAUCCUCACUGAAAAUGAUUUACAUUUUUAUUCCCAAUGUGAAAAGCUUAACGUUUUUAAUGCAUGUCCAGCUUGAAACCCGCUGCAAAUGUCUUACAACGUUUUGUAACAGGAUUUUCCCGUCCGUGCUGAAAACAGCUGAUGAUUUAAUGCAAAUUGUCAUUGUUUCACCCUCUCCCAGUGAUCUUUCCUAUUUUGUGUUAGCAUUUAGGGGCUCUUUUGCAUCUGUUUUAGAAAUCCGACUGCUAGGAUUGGCUUUUUGUUGCGGCCACUCUGUUCUAUAGCACCCGACUUUCCUCAUGUUGCAGCUCUUACUCAUUUUAUUAUUUUUUAAUUUCACUGUCUUCAGUCUCAUAUAACUGUCUUUUCUCAACAUUAAAACCUGGCUUAGAAGUGAACGUCUUCUGGUCUAAGAGGUUUAAAUAGUGAAGCAAAAGAUGCAAAGUAUGGAGUAGUGGUUACCAACAAGGGACCCGGGGAGGUCUGCAAAGCCACAUGGAAACCUGGUUUUGUCUAUUUCAAUAUGCAUUUAAAUUUAGAACACACUGGGCCUAAAGUGCAACUAAACUAUUAUAUUCAUAUAAUGUAUAUACAAUAUGUAAUAUACAUAUGUAAUUUUCAAGUGUAGGUAAAUAUUAUUGUGAUUAAUAAAAUUUAUUUUCAAGGCAUUACUAAUUUCAUAACUAUACAUUGUAUUGUGUUUCUUUUCCCAAUAAAUUACCAUCAAGUAAGGAAUCAAGGAAGGAAUCAAGUAAGGAAUUUUAAAUUGUUAAAAACUAAAAAAUUUUCUUUUGAUAAAACCUUGAUACCACAGAGGUAGGUGCAGUUAGGACAAUGGGUUUUGUGUUCUGACUGAGCAGCUCACUAAGUGGCCAAGUCACGAAGUCUGGGGGGUCUCGGUUUCCUCACGUGUAAAAUUGGACUAUCAUUUCUCUAACCUGCUUCACUGGGUUUGGAGACUCAAAAAGAAAAGAUGAGAAUGUGUGCAAAUUGUAAAGGGCUACGUGAAUAAAUCAAGAAAAAUGGGAGCCUGGGCAGCCUGCACUCUCCGGUUGCAGGUUCGGAUUUUGUGGAAAUGCUUGGGUGGCUUGGACCAGAGGAGGAGCUCCUUGGGCUCAGAUGAGAGUCAAGCCCAGCAGUUCAAAUUAAAGAAAGUUUGGAAAUGGAGUUACAAGUCAGGGCAUGUGCAGGACAAAUUGACUUUGAGGUUUCACAAGACAAGUUCAAAGGCUUGCAUUAUUCCGGAAUACUCCACCCCGCAUUCAUUGGCAAGCCCUAAUCUGACCCAUCUCGGGGUUGUCAGGCUAAAGUUUUCAACCAUUUCAUCCCAACAUAAACAGCUGUGAUCAGUAUGUUGCCACCGACAACCAGAGCUGAAUAAAAGAAUCCCAGCUAUGAACUGAACCCUGAAACCAGAUCAUUAGCCAAGGUCAUGAUGGGGCUAGAAAUUUGUGUUGUUUUCCUUCCUGUCACUUGCCAGCAGUAUAUGGUACUCUUCCCCUGUCGUUUGCAGUCGGCUGGGCCCUGAGCCAUGUGAGACUGUUUUUAAUGGCAAAAUCUUCAAAGCUGUACUUAAAAUAUUUGCAUCAUAAAAUCCCACAUGGAAGCCAAACUUCAGCUUCAGAAGGAGCCUUCUAGCAAGCAGCAAACUUGCCUUCAGAGACAGGGGAAGUCUCCGCCACCAGCACCAGCUUCCAGCAGUGGAUCCACGAGGCUGGUGACACCCUAGGAGGAGAAUCAGAUCAUGAAUUAUUCAGUAGCAUGGAUGGCAUCACCAGGCAGAGGGACAACACGUGGAUGUCUGUUCGAACCAACUUUAAAAACUGUAGAAAGCAGAUGAGUUUUUAGAAUCCCCAAACGACUGUCUGAUUUAUCUGUGCCCUUCCUGCCAACCUGUCAAACAAAAACUAAUUAAAAUAAUUACUGGGAUGUACUGGG
Equus caballus (horse) is the source of this 2641-nucleotide non-coding RNA. Lineage: Eukaryota; Metazoa; Chordata; Mammalia; Perissodactyla; Equidae. The record is from RefSeq and is a predicted model, not a curated record.